Molecule: transfer RNA, 75 nt
Filed under: Bordetella sp.
Lineage: Bacteria; Pseudomonadati; Pseudomonadota; Betaproteobacteria; Burkholderiales; Alcaligenaceae
Description: partial transfer RNA alanine
Rfam family: tRNA
About the family: Transfer RNA (tRNA) molecules are approximately 80 nucleotides in length.
Source: RNAcentral
GGGGGUGUAGCUCAGCUGGGAGAGCGCCUGCUUUGCAAGCAGAUGUCAUCGGUCAGAUCCCGUUCACCUCCACCA